Daphnia magna is the source of this 415-nucleotide long non-coding RNA. RefSeq lists it as uncharacterized. The transcript has 2 exons. The record is from RefSeq and is a predicted model, not a curated record. NCBI's taxonomy places the organism in Eukaryota, Metazoa, Arthropoda, Branchiopoda, Diplostraca, Daphniidae.
AGGGCCCGAGAGGAAAAAUACCCCAGGUCGGAAUUCAGCCUUGGCAACUCAGCAUCCGAUCUUGGUCUAUAACUUAAGCGAAAUCAGUGUUCAAUUUUGAUAAUACCGUGUGAUUUUUCCCCCCUUAAAUCUACCUGGAACUUCGCGAACACCGAGAGCCAUUGAGUCCUUAGAAACACAAUAAAAUUUAAAACAUAUUGGACACACCGACUUCAAUCGUUACAGGCAAUCAGAAUCAGCCAUAAUAGAGGACCACAGCGUCAUCUAGUUUUCCUAUCUGAUUUUUAACACAAUUACUAGGUCAGUUGGUCCACACAAUUUUCUGAAGAUAAUAUCACCUGUUUGGUUAGGAGCUUUCACAAUGAAAAAAGAAUUUGUAUCAUUUUAGCGAAAAGAGAUGAUCACGGAGUGGAAA